This is a long non-coding RNA of Gasterosteus aculeatus aculeatus (three-spined stickleback), 1629 nucleotides long. The record is from Ensembl. NCBI's taxonomy places the organism in Eukaryota, Metazoa, Chordata, Actinopteri, Perciformes, Gasterosteidae.
CCAUAGGCCCUCGGUGUGCCAACACGGGCCGCGCAGUCAGACGCGAGGACGCAACAAACUCUCAAACAUCACGAUGGGGCCGUAGCUCGGCUCGCUCUGCAGACUUCCCCUCCGUCCUUCUCUCGCCAAGUCAUUCCUGACUCUGCCGGUCUGCCCCCCCCCCCCCCCACACACCAAUACCCAUCAUGCAUCUGUCAAACGCUGUCUGGCUGCUGCUGCGGAGCUGUGGGAUGAACACGCCAGAGGAGCUGCUUUUGUUGUAAAAUGAGAUGAGCCUCCUAAAGACUCUUCUGGCUCCCAAAAUGUGUCCUCGUAGAAGAAAGUCGUCCAUCAUUGUCUUUGGCUCGAGUCAAAGAAGAGUGAAGGUGUAUUUCUGAGUACAAAUCAGUACUUAAGAGCAGCCAUGUGAUCACAUUACAGGUGAUUAUCUAGUGAGUGAAAAUAAAAAUGGUUUCGCAUCAAAGUGCCACUUGACACAGGAAUCAAUAGAACUAUGCGACUCGUGUCUCCUCACUUCCCUCCUGACGGACGGACAGCAGAGCGUCCUCCUGAUCAAUGACCACGAUACACAAGCAGCAACAAGGAGCAGGUCUUUACUAGCAUGAUGUUUGCAUGAUGUUUGCAUGAUGUUUGCCUUGAAGCCACGAGGACUUUUUGGUAUCUGACAUGUGAGCUUCUGUAGGAGGGUUAAUGUGUCCGUCAUCAGGGGGCAGCACGUCCGUUAAUUCAUGAGAAAUGGAGCCCCCCCCCCAAGUAAUAGACACUGGCCCUUUAAGAACUGCUGUAACUCCUCCACAUCAAUCCCACGCACACACACACAAACACACACACACACACACACACACACACACACACACACACACAGGGUAAUUAAAGCUGCUCGGAGUGGAGGGAUAACGGCUGAUAGACGUGCACGGGUUGUGUGUGUGCACAGGUUGUGUGUGUGUGUUUGUGCACGGGUUGUGGUUGUGUGUGUGUGCACGGGUUGUGUGUGUGUGUGCACAGGUUGUGUGUGUGUGCACGGGUUGUGUGUGUGUGCGCACGGGUUGUGUGUGUGUGCGCACGGGUUGUGUGUGUGUGUGCACAGGUUGUGGUUGUGUGUGUGCACGGGUUGUAUGUGUGUGUGCACGGGUUGUGUGUGUGUGUGCACGGGUUGUGUGUGUGUGUGCACGGCUUGUAUGUGUGUGUGCACGGGUUGUGUGUGUGUGUGCACAGGUUGUGUGUGUGUGCACGGGUUGUGUGUGUGUGUGCACGGCUUGUAUGUGUGUGUGCACAGGUUGUGUGUGUGGUGCACGGGUGUGUGUGUGUGUGCACGGCUUGUAUGUGUGUGUGCACGGGUUGUAUGUGUGUGUGCACGGGUUGUAUGUGUGUGUGCACGGGUUGUAUGUGUGUGUGCACGGGUUGUGUGUGUGUGUGCACGGGUUGUAUGUGUGUGUGCACGGGUUGUGUAAGGACUCGUGGUAAUUUAUGCUGCUACGUUGUGAGUCAGCCAGCCGGAGGAAGCCCGGCCGGAGGAGAAACAUGCCUGGAAUCUGAGAAGAAGGCUCGGCGGCGUCUCCAGGUGGAGGCAGGGCGGGUGAAUUACUUAUAGCAAAAAAAAGGUAGUGAAAUGGAUGGGGGGCUGAGGGG